UCGCCCACAAUGCCCUCAACGGUUUCAACACGGAUGUGGCUGUGUGCGUGGUGUGAGCGGAUACAAUGCACUUGCCGGUCGGCGCUUGCCGAAGCCCUGUGAAGGGGCAUCCCUGCUGGGGCCGUAAUCGACGCAGGGUCGUCGGCGUAACCGUCCCAUCAUUGGUCUCCUCGCGCUAACCCCGUAGCGUGUGGUUUUUAGCGGGCUCCAGGCCCGCUUUUUUU
The sequence is a non-coding RNA, 224 nucleotides long. It matches the Rfam family "Burkholderia sRNA Bp1_Cand871_SIPHT".